Molecule: ribosomal RNA, 382 nt
Filed under: Bifiditermes improbus
Lineage: Eukaryota; Metazoa; Arthropoda; Insecta; Blattodea; Kalotermitidae
Description: partial 16S ribosomal RNA
Source: RNAcentral
CUCUUCUUGUUUAUUAAUUUUAAGUAUGGCCUGCCCACUGAUGUACAUUAAAGGGCCGCGGUAUUUUGACCGUGCAAAGGUAGCGUAAUCAUUAGUUCUUUAAUUGUGAACAGGUAUGAAUGGCUUGACGAGGCACUAUCUGUCUUUGUUUAAGGAAUGUAUUGAAUUUGGUUUUUGGGUAAAAAUACCUAGAUUUUUUUGUGGGACGAGAAGACCCUAUAGAGUUUUAUAUAAUUUUUCUCUUUGUGGUUUGUUUAAAAGUUUUCUGGUUUUGUUAUAUUUUGUUGGGGCGAUGGGAGGGUAAGUUUAACCCCUCCUUUAAUUAUUUUCAUUUAUUUAUGUUUUUUUGAUCCUUUAAUAUUGAUUAUAAGAUUAAAUUACC